This 538-nucleotide long non-coding RNA is filed under the name Cricetulus griseus (Chinese hamster). Its description in RNAcentral is "lncRNA (ENSCGRG00015034309.1)". Lineage: Eukaryota; Metazoa; Chordata; Mammalia; Rodentia; Cricetidae. The record is from RNAcentral.
CGCGCACCGCCGCACCUGCGGGCUCUCGCCCCGGCGUCUGCGGGACCCGAGGGCUCUGAGCGCGCUGCCGCCCUCCCGCGCCGCCCUCGCACACGCAGAUCCCACUUUUAAAGAAUCCGAAGCGGUGCAGCCCAUCGACACCGAGCGCAGCCGGUUGUGCUUGUUCUCUCCCCGUCUGCAGUUGAGCCCGGACCCUGGAAUAGAAAGACAGUUCUCCGUUGGACUGGCAGAAAGGGAAGGCAGACUCCUCGGUUCCCGAGGAGAGCGGAGCGGCUGCUCUAGUGAAGAAAUGAAGAAUCAAAGAAGUAAAGGAUCUAUUUCAAAAUCACAUAACUAAUGCCUGAGUGGAAUGAUUUGAUAAAGACAUCACAUUUAUGGCUCAGUACUCCAAAGUCUCUCACUCACUGCAUGUUGUCCAGUUGUGGAUCUCUGCAUUAAUUCCCAUCUACUUCAAGAAGAAUCUUCUCUGCUGAGGGUUGGGCAAUGCACUUUUGGGAGUUUUAGGUAUCAUGAUAAAUCAAUUUUAUGAAAAACCUCA